UGAGGAAUAUUGGUCAAUGGGCGAGAGCCUGAACCAGCCAAGUAGCGUGCAGGAUGACGGCCCUAUGGGUUGUAAACUGCUUUUAUGCGGGGAUAACGUGCACCACGUGUGGUGUAUUGCAGGUACCGCAUGAAUAAGGACCGGCUAAUUCCGUGCCAGCAGCCGCGGUAAUACGGAAGGUCCGGGCGUUAUCCGGAUUUAUUGGGUUUAAAGGGUGCGCAGGCGGGCGUCUAAGUCAGCGGUGAAAGUUCCCGGCUCAACCGGGUCAGUGCCGAUGAUACUGGGGGCCUUGAAUGCGGUCGAGGCCGGCGGAAUGUGGCGUGUAGCGGUGAAAUGCAUAGAUAUGCCACAGAACACCGAUAGCGAAGGCAGCUGGCCGGGCCUGCAUUGACGCUGAGGCACGAAAGCGUGGGGAUCGAACAGGAUUAGAUACCCUGGUAGU
Molecule: ribosomal RNA, 442 nt
Filed under: uncultured Prevotella sp.
Lineage: Bacteria; Pseudomonadati; Bacteroidota; Bacteroidia; Bacteroidales; Prevotellaceae
Description: bacterial SSU rRNA
Rfam family: Bacterial small subunit ribosomal RNA
Source: RNAcentral